Molecule: long non-coding RNA, 1985 nt
Filed under: Triticum aestivum (bread wheat)
Lineage: Eukaryota; Viridiplantae; Streptophyta; Magnoliopsida; Poales; Poaceae
Description: long non-coding RNA (TAES_LNC015462)
Source: RNAcentral
UUGAUUGGCCCACAUGUUACAAAAUCAUUAAAGGGACAUGUGAGGGCUUAAAUCACCUUCACAACUCGUGCAAUAAGCCUAUUUUCCAUCUGGAUUUGAAAACUUCUAACAUAUUGCUGGAUAAUAGCAUGAAGCCAAAAAUUUCAGAUAUUGGUUUAUCCAAACUUAUUAAUACGACAGAAACAUGUAAAAAAGAGAUAUUCAGAGGAACACAGUAAGUCGAUUAUGUUAGAAGUCCACAAUUUAUGCUGAUAUAUUGCUUUAAUACAUUUUUUGAAUUACACUAAUUGCAUCUAUUAUGCUGAUGACAUCAUGCAGAGGGUACAUGCCACCGGAAUACGUAGACAUGGGCUUAAUAUCUAAGAAGUUUGACGUGUUCAGUUUGGGUAUCAUAAUUAUAAAAAUGAUGGCUGGAAAUAUGGGUUACUCUCGUUAUUUGAAAAUGUCACCCAAAGAGUUCAUUGAGCUUGUAAGAAAGAACUCAUUAUCACCCUAGCAUGAACAUUUAUAGGUCUUUUUCACAUUUUAUGUGUUCAUUUAUUUUUGCAUGCAGUUUAUAUGCUAUCUUUUUAUGGGAGUUUAUGUUCUGAUUUCACAUGUAGGUAAGUGAAAACUGGAUGAAGAGGUUGCAUGCAAUGCCGAGGCACUAUUCAUCGCACGAAAUAGACAUCCUAAGAGUGAUUACAUGUGUUGAGAUUGCAUUAAGAUGUGUGGACAGGGACCGGAAUAAAAGACCCUCCAUAAAAGAUAUUGUCCAUGAACUGGAAGAACUAGAAGCUGAGAUUGACAGAAUAAUGUUACUACCACCUGAUCAUAGGCAGACCCUCUUGUUUAACCAAGGCCCUGGCCCGGAGUUUCCAAAAAUUAACAGCCUAUGUAUGGCCUGUAACUUGGCCCAAUACAAAAUUAUCCUGGAUUUUAAACUCUGUUUAAUUGAAGCUAUUACAAACGGUUUUUCAGAUGAUCAGAAAAUUUGGAGUGAUGGGUAUGGAGAUGUUUACUGGGUAUGUGUGACUAAUUAUAAUAUUUCCUACCUCUAGUUGGCAAAUUAAUAAUACCGCCGUAGGCUACAAUCUAGCCCAUUGUGCUAAUAAGUGGUUUAACAGGCAUUGCAUAAUGGGGAAGAGAUUGUUGUGAAGAGGCUUCAUUCGUUGCAAGGACUUGAUGACAACGGAUUUUUGGAUGAAAUGUAUAACCUUACCAAGGUUCAUCACAAAAUAUUGGACGAUUAAUUGGCUACUGCUACGAACCCUGCCUUCUAAACAUUGAGCACAAUGAAGAACUUGUUUCAUCAAGGACAAUUGAGCGAGUUCUCUGCUUUGAAUAUAUGCGGGGGGAAAGCCUUGACAAACAUAUUGCAGGUAAAAUAUUAUGAUCAACAAUUGGCUCUGUAUGUGCUAGUUCGCAUGCCAAAGAUAAAUGAUUCCCAGGCAUACGCCACUUAUCCUUUUCUUUCCCCUAAUUUGCAGAUGAACCUUGUGGACUUGAUUGGCCCAUACUUUACAAAAUUAUUAAAGGGACUUGUGAGGGCUUAAAUCACCUUCUUAGUGCACAGGAAAAACCUAUUCUCCAUCUAGACUUAACACCUGGUAAUAUAUUUCUGGUUAAGGGCAAGACACCUAAAAUUGUAGGUUUUGGUUUGUGGAGACUUAUUGACUCAACCAAAAUGCAUCAAACAAAGAUUUUCAAAGUAACACAGUAAGUUGAUGGAUCAUGUUAUGAGAAAUUUGUUUUUAGAAAACUUUUAAACAAAGUUCUUGUAUUGACUAAGCCACUAAGUGUAUAUAUCUGUGAUGCUUAUGAUAUCUGCAGCAGGUACAUGCCACCGGAAUAUGUAGACAUUGGCUUUAUAUCAAACAAGUACGACGUGUUCAGUUUGGGCGUUAUAAUUAUAAAAAUGAUGGCUGGAAAUAUGGGCUAUUCUCGUUGUUUCAAAAUGUCUCCCAAAGAGUUCAUUGAGCUUGUAAGGAAAAACUCAUUAUCUA